UUGGUAUUGUCUUUAAUUGAUUACUUUGAUUGAUUCCGCACUAUCCGGGAUUCUCGAUACUAACAACCGUUCUCAAUUGUAAGAGUUUAGAAUAAGAUAGUUUGACGGCUAAGAUUAUAAGUCAAACACAUCGACAGACAUCUCAACUUAGCACCAUCUUUCACUUUGGUAUCUUAAAUGGACGAUAUUCAUUUUAAACACCUAAAAUAACCAUAACGCCUUUAGAUCAAAAGCUCAAUCAAUAGAGAAGCCUAGCACCUCGAAUUUAAAGCUCAAAGUGUAGACACAUAAUUUCGUCCCUCCCUGAUAUCAUUUUACCCAUUUUUACCUUAUCCUACCCAUGUAAUUACAUCCCACAAAAAUACAAAAAAUAACUCUCAACAAAAUCACUAACAAACUUUUAUUCUUUUAAACAUCCUAACAACCCUUUCAAUUAAAAGAAGACACAUUACCCAUACCCCUACCCCCAACACCCCAUACCCACGUGACCUCCUCCUCCUCAUAUUUCUUGUCCACAAAGGCAAAAAGAGAAAAACAUUAGAAAGGGACCCCACUAGGAAACUUUCAGGAAAGCCCACAAGGAACCAUUUUGUUUUAAGGGGAUGAAAUACAAUAUAUUCACACUCUCACAAAUAAAAAGGACCCACACGAUAUAAUUUCCACAGGCUCUACUCACAAUUGACACUGAUCUUCUCCAAAGAACGCAUAGACACUUCCACACUCUCUUGGAUUUUUUACUCAAUUCACUGGUAAACAAAAAAGAAAAUAAGGACUCCAUUUCUGUUUCUUGUUUUCUUCUUCAGAGAUACGCACACAACAACACUCGAAUUUCCCAUAGAAGGACUGAUUUCCUUCCAAUAGCAUAGACCCUCAAAGUCAUCUUCUUCACAUAUAUACCCAGACCACCGAAAAAGAAAAAAAUAGACUGAAAACUGAAGAGGGGUGAUCGGAAUAGGGGACUGGUGCGAGGUUCGAUCCUUCUCCAAGCUUUUUUUGGUGAAAACUUUCACCAGAAUUGAUUUUAGUUCAUCGUUCGGUUGACCAGUUCAAGAAGAAUCCAAAUUUCUUCAUUUUUCUUUAAUUUCUAAGGGAAUCUGGCCGGAAACGUUAAGUUUUGGCCAGAAAAC
This 1127-nucleotide long non-coding RNA is filed under the name Capsicum annuum. RNAcentral's name for it is "long non-coding RNA (CANN_LNC018132)". The record is from RNAcentral. Lineage: Eukaryota; Viridiplantae; Streptophyta; Magnoliopsida; Solanales; Solanaceae.